AGGGUACAUGUGUGCACACACACACACGUAAUACCAUAAAUAACAUAUUCCCUGAAAUGUUUUAGGUUCUGAUUUGGCAAAGCCCCCCCAAAGUCCAGUUAAGGAGCUCUGGAAGCGGCACAAAAUAAGAAUACUCUCCCAGACUGACAACUAUAAGACAGCCAGAGAACGAGCCAAAAAAGCUGUAGAAAGUUCAAACGUGGACACAGAAGAAGAGGUGGUAAAAGAGCGGGAAAAAGUACCAUCAAAAUACUGGAGCGAGAGUUCAGGAGAAUGUGAGAUUCCUACCAAAAAAGAAGAAUAAUGUCCACAUCCUCUCAGAAGCCAUCAAGCCUCCCAAAGCCUCCAAGUUACAAACCACCUCCUGACAUCACAGCUCACUCACCUGAGGAAGAAGAGCCAUCCCUGCCAAAUCUUUCAGCUAAUAAUACUUUUCAUGAUACAGUUUUUGAGCCUGAUGGGAGGUAGCAACAUUGGAGACGCUGUGAGGAGAAUCCUUCGGAAA
Long non-coding RNA from Carassius auratus (goldfish), 505 nucleotides. RefSeq lists it as uncharacterized. The transcript has 5 exons. Lineage: Eukaryota; Metazoa; Chordata; Actinopteri; Cypriniformes; Cyprinidae. The record is from RefSeq and is a predicted model, not a curated record.